UUGCAGGAACUGGGCUUGGCUAGUUUAGUGAAGAGAAGAACCAGGGAAGACAUGAUAGCAGUAUUCCAAUAUUUGAGGGGCUGCCACAGAGAGGAGGGGGUCAAGCUAUUUUCCAAAGAACCUGAAGGCCAGACAAGGAAUGAUGGAUGGAAACUGAACAAGGGGAGAUUCAACCUGGAAAUGAGAAAUUUUCUGACAAUGAGAACAAUCAACCAAUUGAACCGCUUGCCUUCAGAAGUUGUGGGAGCUUCAUCACUGGAAGCUUUCAAGAAGAGACUAGACUGUCAUCUGUCAAAAAUGGUGUAAGGUCUGCUUGGGCAGGGGGUUGGACUAGAUGACCUACAAAGUCCCUUCCAACUCCGUUAAUCUGUAUCUGUAUCUAAUAUAUAGGAACAAGUUGAAAGAUUACUUGUAGAUAUUUUUUCAUUCUUUUUAUUAAUCCUGCAUUUAAUAAGUAACAACAAUUAUUUAGACUGCAAUCAAUUCUAAUGUAAAUUUUUUUUUUCAAAGAAUAAAAAAAUUAACCAAAUGUCAGUCAAGGCACACGCCUUACAAAAUAUAAAGUGACAUUAAAGGUGAUAGGCUGAUAGGCACUCCUGCACAUCAGACUUCACGUGGUUUAACCUGUUAAACCUGUUUAACCUGGGAUUUAAUGAAGAUCAAGAUUUAUACUAGGGUGUUCUUCUAAGGAUUUAUGUUAUGCAUUGAGAAGGAAGGAUCUGUGGCUUUUAAAACAAUGAAUAUGGUUUGGAGGAUGGCAGAGGAGAAGUCCCCUGUAGGGUUGGAGGGCGAAGCUGAGGUGGAGGAGGUGGCAGAAGAAAGACCAGUGGCAGAGGCGGCACCUGAUGGCAUCGACCAGCCAGUGAUGGGACCCUGGUAGAGGGGGCCGCCUGUUGAGCCCUGGCUAUGUUCAACACAUGCAAGGGGGGGAGAGUGGGAGAAGUUUUCGGCAAUGGCUUGUGUCAGCUUGUGAUGAUGUCCAGAUGCCCAGGAAAGCCGCGCAACAGCAGGAAACACGAAACCCGGCAGCAAACAGCUGAUGGGGGGUUAGAUUAAAGUAUCGGAUGCUGGCUAAGCAGGGCCAAUAGAUAAAAAGCGCAGAGAGGCAGUCGCUCUCAACGCUGACUUUGAUCCAACCGCUCACUUUGUUCUGCCUUCAGCUGUGUGUGACAAAUAAAUCUCUGAGACCAGCCUUGUUUACAAGUAUUAAUUUGAAACCCCAUGGACCUGGAGUUGACAGGGCUGAAAUACAAUGUUAAACAGCUUUAAAAACUUCAAUACCUUAAAGCCUACAUUUAGGAUUUGUUAAAGGAAAUUACUGUAAUGUACUGUAAAGAAAUAUGAAAAUUAGAAGUCAGGUUUUUUUAAUCAAAUAUUCAAGGUUUUUUGUACAAGAAUUCUCCUCCAGUUAGGUAUGUUCUUCAUCCUCUCAUAAUAAUUUUUUUGUAAAGACUUGUUACAAAAAUUUCAUUUUAUCUGAUACACAUCACUAUAUUACUAUACUAUAUUAAUAUUACUAGAUUUACAGACUACUGUUGACUGCUUAAAAUACGUUAGCAAUAGCCUUUUUGGCAUUACUAGGAAACCAUGGGUAUGUUAAUUUUUACAAGUGAGAUUUCUUAUUUGUAAAUAAUUAAUACCUGUUUACUGAAAAGUAAACUGAAUCCAGUUAAGCAUGAAUUGGACUGUAGCCUAAGAAUGUUAUAUUGUUGCUGUGAAUGUGAAAAAAAAGUCCCAUUAAAAUUAGUGGCCUUUUUCUUAAAAAACACAACGAUGUUUAUACAAGGUAAAGAUGUUCUGGUCCAUGCUUAAAUGUUUGUUCCAAUAUUCCAAACAAGUUAAAAGACAUUAUAAAUAAUCUUGCAAUACUAUACAAAAUUUCUCAAGCUCAUUUUGUAGUGAAGUCAAUUAGAUUUACUUCUAAAUAAAUCAUAUAUAUAUAUAAAUCAUA
Ahaetulla prasina is the source of this 1951-nucleotide long non-coding RNA. RefSeq lists it as uncharacterized. NCBI's taxonomy places the organism in Eukaryota, Metazoa, Chordata, Lepidosauria, Squamata, Colubridae. The transcript has 3 exons. The record is from RefSeq and is a predicted model, not a curated record.